This 468-nucleotide ribosomal RNA is filed under the name uncultured bacterium. RNAcentral's name for it is "partial 16S ribosomal RNA". It matches the Rfam family "Bacterial small subunit ribosomal RNA", at positions 28 to 507 of the family's 1533-position model. The record is from RNAcentral.
GACGAACGCUGGCGGCGUGCUUAACACAUGCAAGUCGAACGGACCCGCCCUUGUUUUUUGGGGUGCUUGAGUGGCGAACGGGUGAGUAACACGUGAGUAACCUGCCCUUCACUUUGUGAUAACUUCCGGAAACUGGGGCUUAUACCGGAUAGGAGCUCCUGCUGCAUGGUGGGGGUUGGAAAGUUUCGUCGGUUGGGGAUGGACUCGCGGCGUAUCAGCUUGUUGGUGAGGUAGUGGCUUACCAAGGCUUUGACGGGUAGCGGGCCUGAGAGGGUGACCGGCCACAGUGGGACUGAGAGACGGCCCAGACUGCUACGGGAGGUAGAAGUGGGGAAUAUUGCACAAUGGGCGGAAGCGUGAUGCAGAAACGCGGCGUGGGGGAUGAAGGCCUUCGGGUUGUAAACCGCGUUCGCGUGUGACGAAGCGGGAGUGACGGUAAUGGGUAAAGAAGCACCGGCUAACUACGUG